AUUGAACGCUGGCGGAAUGCUUUACACAUGCAAGUCGAACGGUAACAGGUCUUCGGAUGCUGACGAGUGGCGAACGGGUGAGUAAUACAUCGGAACGUGCCUAGUAGUGGGGGAUAACUACUCGAAAGAGUGGCUAAUACCGCAUGAGAUCUACGGAUGAAAGCAGGGGAUCGCAAGACCUUGUGCUACUAGAGCGGCCGAUGGCAGAUUAGGUAGUUGGUGGGAUAAAAGCUUACCAAGCCGACGAUCUGUAGCUGGUCUGAGAGGACGAUCAGCAACACUGGGACUGAGACACGGCCCAGACUCCUACGGGAGGAAGCAGUGGGGAAUUUUGGACAAUGGGCGCAAGCCUGAUCCAGCAAUGCCGCGUGCAGGAUGAAGGCAUUCGGGUUGUAAACUGCUUUUGUACGGAACGAAAAGCCCUGGGUUAAUACCCUGGGGUCAUGACGGUACCGUAAGAAUAAGCACCGGCUAACUACGUGCCAGCCGCCGCGGUAA
Molecule: ribosomal RNA, 498 nt
Filed under: uncultured bacterium
Lineage: Bacteria
Description: partial 16S ribosomal RNA
Rfam family: Bacterial small subunit ribosomal RNA
Source: RNAcentral